Molecule: ribosomal RNA, 253 nt
Filed under: uncultured bacterium
Lineage: Bacteria
Description: partial 16S ribosomal RNA
Rfam family: Bacterial small subunit ribosomal RNA
Source: RNAcentral
UACAGAGGCCUCGAGCGUUAGGCGGAAUCACUGGGCUUAAAGCGUGUGUAGGCGGAUCGUUAAGUACCUUGUGAAAUCCCACGGCUUAACCGUGGAACUGCUUGGUAUACUGGCGAUCUUGUGCCACCUAGGGGCGAGCGGAACAGAUGGUGGAGCGGUGAAAUGCGUAGAUAUCAAGAGGAACACCUGCGGCGAAGGCGGGUUGCUGGGCCGACACUGACGCUGAGGCGCGAAAGCCAGGGGAGCGAACGGG